AUACGUAGGGGACGAGCGUUGUCCGGAAUUACUGGGCGUAAAGGGCGCGCAGGCGGAUAUUUAAGUCAGCUGUAAAAGGCAUGAGCUCAACUCAUGUAUGCGGUUGAAACUGGGUAUCUAGAGUGCUGGAGAGGUAGGCGGAAUUCCCGGUGGAGCGGUGAAAUGCGUAGAUAUCGGGAAGAACACCAGUGGCGAAGGCGGCUUACUGGCCAGCAACUGACGCUGAGGCGCGAAAGCCAGGGGAGCGAACGGGAUUAGAUACCCCGGUAGUCCUGGCCGUAAACGAUGAAUGCUAGGUGUGGGUGUCGAGAGGCAUCCGUGCCGGAGUUAACGCGAUAAGCAUUCCGCCUGGGGAGUACGAUCGCAAGAUUGAAACUCAAAUGAAUUGACGGGG
Molecule: ribosomal RNA, 394 nt
Filed under: uncultured bacterium
Lineage: Bacteria
Description: partial 16S ribosomal RNA
Rfam family: Bacterial small subunit ribosomal RNA
Source: RNAcentral